This 443-nucleotide ribosomal RNA is filed under the name uncultured bacterium. RNAcentral describes it as "partial 16S ribosomal RNA". It matches the Rfam family "Bacterial small subunit ribosomal RNA", at positions 338 to 795 of the family's 1533-position model. The record is from RNAcentral.
CCUACGGGAGGCAGCAGUGGGGAAUAUUGGGCAAUGGAGGCAACUCUGACCCAGCAAUGCCGCGUGAGUGAUGAAGGUAAUUUUAUUGUAAAGCUCUUUUCUUUGGAACGAAUAAAUGACGGUACCAAAGGAAUAAGCCCCGGCUAACUACGUGCCAGCAGCCGCGGUAAUACGUAGGGGGCAAGCGUUGUUCGGAAUGACUGGGCGUAAAGGGAGUGUAGGUGGUUUGAUAAGUUAGAUGUGUAAUACCCAGGGCUUAACUCGGGUGCUGCAUCUAAAACUGUUAGAAUUGAGUACUGGGGGGGAUAGUGGAAUUCCUAGUGUAGCGGUGGAAUGCGUAGAUAUUAGGAGGAACAUCAGGGGCGAAGGCGACUUACUGGACUGUAACUGACACUGAGGCACGAAAGCGUGGGGAGCAAACAGGAUUAGAUACCCUAGUAGUC